AUUGAACGCUGGCGGCAUGCUUUACACAUGCAAGUCGAACGGCAGCGCGGGCUUCGGCCUGGCGGCGAGUGGCGAACGGGUGAGUAAUACAUCGGAACGUGCCCAGUAGUGGGGGAUAGCUCGGCGAAAGCCGGAUUAAUACCGCAUACGACCUGAGGGUGAAAGCGGGGGAUCUUCGGACCUCGCGCUAUUGGAGCGGCCGAUGGCAGAUUAGCUAGUUGGUGGGGUAAGGGCCUACCAAGGCGACGAUCUGUAGCUGGUCUGAGAGGACGACCAGCCACACUGGGACUGAGACACGGCCCAGACUCCUACGGGAGGCAGCAGUGGGGAAUUUUGGACAAUGGGCGAAAGCCUGAUCCAGCAAUGCCGCGUGUGUGAUGAAGGCCUUCGGGUUGUAAAGAACUUUUGGCGGGAACGAAAAGGAAUGUGCCAAUACCACGGUUCGAUGACGGUACCCGCAGAAUAAGCACCGGCUAACUACGUG
RNAcentral lists this ribosomal RNA (484 nucleotides) under uncultured bacterium. RNAcentral's name for it is "partial 16S ribosomal RNA". It matches the Rfam family "Bacterial small subunit ribosomal RNA", at positions 29 to 507 of the family's 1533-position model. The record is from RNAcentral.